AUUACCCCAGAUAGCCAUCCCGUGGAGUCUAUUCGUAUGAAGCACAGACUUUGUGAACACUUUAACUCCACGGCGAUUGGACUGUGUGCAUAGGAUCUGAGUGCUAUUCUGUACUUUUGUGCGCUCAGAUCUAAGCUAUCUGGGGAUAGGUAGAAUGUAUAUGUUUUGUGCAACAGUUGUAACUUUAUACAUUUUUAAGUCUUUUACUCUCUUUUACUGCCAUGUGGUUAAUGGAGUUUUGCCUCUGUCCUGGGAGAUAAUUGGAUUUCUUCCCAAUUAUCUCCAGGACAGAGGGAGGGAAGUUAGGAUGCAUUGUGGGGAUGUUUUACCUCUGUGUGUCUGUCAUUGGUUCACGUCUGUCCUUUGUCACAGUCUCCCAUUUGGUCGCCUAGGGGAGUGUCCACCAGGUGGGAGACCAGCAUAAAUACUGGGCAGGUAGCCCUCAUUAAACCAGACCUCUGCUUGACCCUCAACACGGAGCUCUGUCUCGUUCUUGGGGGGAUUUACUGUAUGCUGAUAGAGACUGAUUGCUAGGAGUGUAA
Molecule: non-coding RNA, 542 nt
Organism: Pelobates cultripes (western spadefoot toad)
Lineage: Eukaryota; Metazoa; Chordata; Amphibia; Anura; Pelobatidae
Source: the annotation of a GenBank genome assembly